CCUACGGGUGGCAGCAGUGAGGAAUAUUGGUCAAUGGCCGAGAGGCUGAACCAGCCAAGUCGCGUGAGGGAAGAAUGUCCUAUGGAUUGUAAACCUCUUUUGUCAGGGAGCAAAGUCACCCACGUGUGGGUGUUGGAGAGUACCUGAAGAAAAAGCAUCGGCUAACUCCGUGCCAGCAGCCGCGGUAAUACGGAGGGAGCGAGCGUUGUCCGGAAUUACUGGGUGUAAAGGGAGCGUAGGCGGGACUGCACGUUGGGUGUAAAAUCUACCGGCUCAACCGGUAGCCGCACUCAAAACUGCAGUUCUUGAGUGAAGUAGAGGCAGGCGGAAUUCCUAGUGUAGCGGUGAAAUGCGUAGAUAUUAGGAGGAACACCAGUGGCGAAGGCGGCCUGCUGGGCUUUUACUGACGCUGAGGCUCGAAAGUGUGGGGAGCAAACAGGAUUAGAUACCCGAGUAGUC
This 459-nucleotide ribosomal RNA is filed under the name uncultured bacterium. RNAcentral's name for it is "partial 16S ribosomal RNA". It matches the Rfam family "Bacterial small subunit ribosomal RNA", at positions 338 to 795 of the family's 1533-position model. The record is from RNAcentral.